This 36985-nucleotide long non-coding RNA is filed under the name Triticum aestivum (bread wheat). RNAcentral's name for it is "long non-coding RNA (TAES_LNC023880)". The stretch from base 9792 to 9906 matches the Rfam family "MIR1120/MIR1122 microRNA precursor family". The record is from RNAcentral. Lineage: Eukaryota; Viridiplantae; Streptophyta; Magnoliopsida; Poales; Poaceae.
AGAAAAAAGGACAGAGGUCCUGCUUUAUUGCUUAUCAUAAUAUAUACAUGGCUGAGAGAAAUAUGUACAUUAUGAGAGCCGGUGGCUCAAGUGUAGUAAGGCCGAAGCUGAGCUAUGUUCCACGGCCGACGGGUCUCUUCCUCCGACUUACGUGAAUCUUUGUGCUCCCGAAUGUCAAUGAGGUAAUAUGACCCGUCAUGCAAGUUCUUACUGACCACAAAGGGCCCUUCCCAAGGCGGGGAUAGCUUGUGUGCAUCUGUUGAUCCUGGAUGAGCCGGAGCACGAGAUCGCCUUCCUGGAAGACCCGGAUUUAACCCGGCGGCUAUGAUAACGGCGCAGGUCUUGUUGGUAAAUCGCUGAACGGGCUGCUGCCACAUCACGCUGUUCGUCCAGCAAGUCAAGAGCAUCUUGGCGCGCCUGUUCAUUAUCCGCCUCAACGUAAGCCGCCACUCGAGGUGAGUCAUGACGGAUGUCACUGGGGAGGACUGCUUCUGCCCCAUAAACCAUGAGGAAAGGCGUAAAACCCAUAGACCUGUUAGGGGUAGUGUUGAUGCUCCAUAACACGGAGGGCAACUCCUCCACCCAACAACCCGGCGUCCGUUGCAAAGGGACCAAAAGCCGGGGCUUGAUGCCCUUCAGAAUCUCCUGAUUAGCUCUCUCAGCUUGACCAUUGGAUUGAGGAUGAGCCACUGAGGAAACAUCAAGUCGGAUAUGCUCUCGUUGACAAAACUCUUCCAUGGCGCCUUUGGAGAGAUUGGUGCCAUUGUCAGUGAUAAUGCUGUGCAGAAAACCAAAGCGAAAGAUCACCUUUUUCAUAAACUGAACCGUCGUGGCUGCAUCACACUUGCCAACUGGCUCUGCUUCAACCCACUUGGUAAACUUGUCAACUGCCACCAAAAGGUGGGUCUUCUUAUCCUUGGACCUUUUGAAAGGCCCAACCAUAUCAAGCCCCCAGACCGCAAAGGGCCAAGUAAUUGGGAUCAUCCUUAGCUCUUGAGCCGGUACAUUAGCCCGCCGCGAGAACCUUUGGCAACCAUCACACUUACUGACCAAGUCCUCUGCAUCAGCAUGAGCCGUCAACCAAUAAAAACCAUGACGAAAAGCCUUGGCCACAAGAGACUUUGAGCCGGCGUGAUGGCCACAAUCCCCUUCAUGGAUCUCACGCAAGAUCUCUUGACCUUCCUCAGGGGAAACACAACGCUGAAACGCUCCCGUAACACUGCGGUGAUGCAACUCACCAUUGAUAACAAUCAUUGACUUAGCCCGCCGGGUUAUUUGCCUGGCCAAAGUUUCAUCCUCAGGCAACUCGCCCCGGGUCAUGUAAGCCAGAUAGGGCAUUGUCCAGUCUGGUAUGAUAUGGAGAGCCGCCACCAGUCGUGCCUCUGGGUCAGGGACAGCCAAGUCUUCCUCUGUAGGCAACUUAACAGAAGGGUUAUACAGGACGUCCAGGAAAGUAUUAGGCGGCACCGGUUUUCGCUGAGAGCCCAGCCGGCUUAAAGCGUCAGCCGCCUCGUUCUUCCUGCGAUCGAUGUGUUCCACUUGGUAACCCUGAAAGUGCCCAACAAUGGCAUCAACUUCGCGGCGAUAAGCCGCCAUGAGAGGGUCCUUGGAAUCCCACUUUCCUGAUACUUGUUGAGCCACCAAGUCUGAGUCGCCGAAGCACCUUACCCGGCUUAAGCUCAUCUCUUUAGCCAUCCGAAGACCAUGGAGCAAGGCCUCGUACUCAGCCGCGUUGUUAGUGCAAGGAAACAGCAACUGUAGCACAUAAUGGAACUUGUCACCUUUAGGGGAAGCCAACACGACUCCAGCCCCCGAGCCCUCCAACUGCCUGGACCCAUCAAAGUGAAUAGUCCAAUAUGUGUUAUCCAGCUUCUGCUCGGGCACUUGUGACUCUGUCCAGUCAUUGAUGAAAUCCAGCAAGGCCUGAGAUUUAACAGCAGUGCGUGGCACGUACUUGAGACCAUGAGGUCCAAGCUCUAUAGCCCACUUAGCCACUCUCCCUGUGGCCUCUCUGUUUUGAAUGAUAUCACCAAGAGGGGCAGAACUGACCACAGUGAUGGGAUGACCCUGAAAAUAAUGCUUAAGUUUCCGGCUCGCUAUGAACACACCAUAAACAAGCUUCUGCCAAUGCGGAUACCGCUGCUUGGACUCAAUGAGCACUUCGCUGACAUAAUAAACCGGCCGCUGAACCGGAUGCUCCUUACCCUCCUCCUUGCGCUCCACCACCAUAGCCACACUGACGGCUCGUGUGUUCGCCGCCACAUAUAAUAAUAAGGGCUCCUUAUCAACCGGAGUAGCAAGGACUGGAGGCUCUGCCAGCUGCUUCUUCAAAUCCUCAAAGGCAGUAUUAGCUGCAUCAUUCCAGACAAAGUUAUCAGUUUUGUUCAUCAACUGAUAUAAUGGCAUGGCCUUCUCACCCAAACGGCUUAUAAACCGGCUUAAAGUAGCGAUGCGACCUGCCAAGCGCUGAACGUCAUUUAUACACGCCGGCUUAGCCAGGGAGGUGAUGGCCUUGAUCUUCUCCCGGUUAGCUUCAAUGCCUCUGUCAGAAACCAAAAAACCCAAGAGUUUGCCUGCAGGAACACCAAAGACACACUUGGCCGGGUUAAGCAUCAUCUUGUAGACCCGGAGAUUAUCAAAGGUUUCUCUCAAAUCAUCUAUCAGGGUUUCCUCCUUUAUGGAUUUAACCACAAUGUCGUCCACAUAAGCAUGAACAUUGCGCCCAAUCUGUUUAUGAAGACAGUUCUGCACGCAACGCUGAUAAGUCGCCUGUGCACACUUGAGUCCAAAGGGCAUGGAGACAUAGCAGAAGGCUCCAAAGGGAGUGAUGAAUGCUGUCUUCUCCUGGUCCUUAACUGCCAUUUUAAUCUGAUGAUAUCCGGAAUAAGCGUCCAAGAAACUUAAGCGCGCACAACCGGCCGUAGCAUCAAUAAUUUGAUCAAUACGGGGAAGGGCAAAAGGAUCAGCCGGACACGCCUUAUUUAAGUCCGUGUAAUCCACACACAUCCGCCAAGUGCCGUUCUUCUUGAGUACGAGCACCGGGUUAGCUAACCAUUCUGGGUGGAAGACUUCAACAAUAAACCCGGCCGCCAAAAGCCGGGCCACCUCUUCGCCAAUAGCUUUCCGCCUCUCUUCAUUAAACCGCCGAAGGAACUGCCUGACCGGCUUAAAUUUUGGAUCAAUAUUGAGAGUGUGCUCAGCGAGUUCUCUAGGUACACCUGGCAUGUCAGAAGGUUUCCAUGCGAAGAUGUCCCUAUUCUCACGGAUGAACUCGAUGAGCGCGCCUUCCUAUUUUGGAUCCAGAUUGGCACUGAUGCUAAAUUGCUGAGAUGAGUCUCCUGGAACGAAAUCAACAAGUUUAGUCUCAUCAGCCGACUUAAAUUUCAUUGCCGGCUCAUGCUCCGUAGUCGGCUUUUUCAGAGAGGUCAUAUCAGUUGGGUCAACAUUGUCCUUGUAAAACUUCAACUCCUCUGUUGCACAAACAGAUUCGGCAUAAGCUGCAUCGCCUUCCUCACAUUCCAAGGCCACCUUCCGGCUGCCGUGAACCGUAAUGGGCCCAUUAUGACCCGACAUCUUGAGCUGUAAGUAAACAUAACACGGCCGUGCCAUGAACUUGGCGUAAGUCGGCCGCCCAAAUAUAGCAUGGUACGGACUUCUUAUCUUGACCACCUCAAAGGUCAAUUUUUCCACCCUGUAGUUGUUUUCAUCUCCGAAGGCCACUUCCAACUCGAUCUUGCUGACUGGAUAAGCCGACUUACCAGGUACCACACCAUGGAAGAUAGUGUUUGAUUGGCUGAGGUUCUUAUCAACCAACCCCAUACGGCGAAAAGUCUCAUAAUAGAGGAUGUUGAUGCUGCUGCCUCCAUCCAUGAGCACCUUAGUGAACUUAUAUCCUCCCACCUGAGGAGCCACCACUAAGGCCAAGUGACCCGGAUUGUCCACCUGGGGAGGGUGAUCCUCUCUACUCCAUACUAUAGGCUGCUCAGACCACCGCAAGUAGCGUGGAACCGCCGGCUCAACAGCAUUCACGGCCCUCUUAUGAAGCUUCUGAUCUCGCUUACACAGACUGGUGGUAAAUACAUGGUACUGUCCACCGCUAAGCUGCUUUGGAUUGGUCUGAUAACCCCCCUGCUGCUGUUGAUGACCCUGGCCAGACUGCUGAUUAAAGCCUCCUUGACCGUUCUGAGGAUUAGAAUUUGAGCCGCCGCCCGGGCCAUGAAAACCGCCGGCGCCUGAGCCGCCGCCCGGGCCAUUGUAAUUCUUAAAGGCCUUCAUGAUUGCACAAUCCUUCCAUAGAUGAGUCGCUGGCUUCUCUCUAGAGCCAUGCCUUGGACAAGGCUCAUUCAACAGCUGCUCCAGCGUCGGGCCUGACCCGCCGCCUCGGGGAGGGGGCCUCCCCUUGCGUCGCUGGUUAUUACCUUGUGAGCUGGCGUUGGCUACAAACUCUAGGCUGCCAUCGGCCUUGCGCUUGCCUCCUCCUUGGUUCCCCGGGUUAUGCUGAGGACCCUUGCCAUUGCCGUUCUUCUUUCCCUUCCCUGUCCUUUCAUCAUCUGAAGCGGGGUCCUUGGUACCAUCAGAAUCGGCGUACUUGACAAGAGCCGCCAUCAGCGUACCCAUAUCAUUGCAGUCGCGCUUAAGCCGCCCGAGUUUCAUCUUUAGGGGCACAAAAGGACAAUUCUGCUCCAACAUUAAGACGGCUGAGCCGGCAUCCAUCUUAUCUGACGAAUGUAUGAUCUCCUUAACCCGGCGAACCCAAUGUGUCGUAGACUCACCCUCCUGCUGCUUGCAGUUAGUUAAAUCCACAAUUGACAUAGACUGCCUACAGGUAUCCUUGAAGUUUUGGAUGAACCGGGCCUUCAGCUCAGCCCAAGACCCAAUGGAAUUCGGCGGUAGCCCUUUCAACCAAGUGCGGGCAGUCCCAUCUAACAUCAUGGUGAAGUACUUGGCCAUCGCCGCCUCACUGACCUCCAGCAGUUCCAUGGCCAUCUCGUAACUCUCGAUCCAGGCCGCGGGUUGUAAGUCAGUUGUGUAAUUAGGCACCUUCCUAGGGCCUUUGAAGUCCUUGGGUAGACGUUCAUUGCGGAUAGCUGGCACUAGACAAGGGACACCCCCAGUCCUAGUAGGGAUACCCACGUCGACGGAAGUCGUCGGAUAAGCCGGGGGGUCUGGUAAACCGUCAAUUGAGGCACCUGUUCCGCCUCUUGCCGCGCUCUGUCCUGGUCUGCUGCGUGAAAGGCUCCAUUAUGAGCCGGGCCAUGGCCAGGGGCGGGUCAUGGCAUCGGACGUUACUUGAGCCGGUCGCUGAGACCAUGUGUCUGCUGUAACUCGUGCUCCGGCCUGGGCGAGGGGUCGAGUGGAUCCUGUCCCGGCUGUAGGAGUACGCUUCUUGCUGCGCCAGUGCUGUCUGAAGGAGUUCCCUGACCCGGCAGGUUUCAAUAGCCGUCGGGGAGUCGCCAUCGACUGGGAGAGCCGCCAGCCGUGCUGCCACGGCGACCAUGUUCUCCAGCGGGUUAUUAUAAUGACCCGGGGGUAUUGGCACGUACUGAGGCGGGGCAGGGGGCACCUGAGGAGGCCCCAUCACUUGUGGCUGAAUAGGGGUCCUAGACCCGGGCACUAUGACCCCUGGUGGGUUACUAGACCCUGCACCUGGCGUGUUGAAGAGGUUGCGUGGAUCAUAAACCGGAGGGAGUCGAGAUUGGGUCUUUUGAUGCCUCCUUCUCAUGACCUCAUUGGACGCGUUCUGAUCCAUCGUGAGUUGGAAGGACUGCGCCUGGAUCAACUGAGUUUGGGCAUCGAGAGCCGCCCUCUCCGCAGCCAUCCUGAUCCCUUCCGCUGCAAGAUCCUCCUUAGCUUUCACUAGAUCCAAUUUUAACUGUGCCACCUCCGCAUCAUGCUGAGCUUGAUCCGCCGGGUCAACCGUGGCGAUUAACAGGGCCGUCAUCUUGUCCGUGAGAUCCAUCAGCACCUGAGCCGGAGAAGGCACCGGGUUUCCCGCUCCAGCAGCGGGGUUCUGAACAGGCUGCGCACCGGCCAUAAAGAUUCCGACCCGGCUUGGCGGCUCAAAUAGGUCCAGAAUACUGUCACCAUUGGAACAACCCAUGAGCCUGCCAUCUUGAAGUUGAUACAACGAGUUUGACUCAUCGGUGGCCGACUCGCCGUCAGAGCCGGCGGCCGUCUCAUCACCAGAUCCAGAACGAUCAGAGAGUCCUCCAUGGAUGCACCCCACAAAAGCAUGCCUUAAGGCAGGCCGGGCCCGGGCGGGUCGAGCACGCUGAGCCGUCUCGAUGAGGUCGGCGCGGAGAUCCGGCUCAGGGCCCGGCUCACCAAUCUUAAGCCCAUCUUCGGCCCACCGUCUUCAAGCUUAGCGUCGGGCUUCUGGCAAUGACCAUAUGAGUAACCUGGCUCCUCCUGGCGGGUGACUCUAAGGUCCAUAUCCUCAACACAAUCGGAGGUACUUCUUGCUAAAAUUAGUUCUUGUAUGAGUAAACUUUCGAGUACAUAAGAGGCAGCACAGACAAUCUGAACUUUGCUUGUAGGUUUAUCCUCAAAUAGUGGCCUCGUGCCGAGGCAGGUUUGAGCAACUUGGCCACUACUUUCAUCCAACUAGUUUACUGGCUCAUCUUGGUCCUGUAUCUCGCCAAAAUUCUACAUUGCAGACGAGAAAGGAGGCGGUUGAGAAAAUGAAUCACCCAAAUUUUUUGUGCAGUUCAACUGAAAUGGAGCAUCCUUGGCGUGCAGACUGAUUAAGUGCCAGAUGAAUAUACGCGUCAACCAACUUGUCUGGAAUCUUUAGACUCCAUGCCAUAUAGUUCGCUACCAUAUGUGCCGAUAACCAAAAGGCACAAGUUGGGACCAAAGACUGGACUGCGUUUUUCUGGGCUAUGCACCAAGCAAUAUUUUUGGCGUUCACUCUCCUAAUACUUGGAGUUUCACAAUUGGUUGACGCCGGUUGAUACUCGAAUGAAUAUAGGCACUUCUUGUCAACAUCGAUGCUUGUCUGAGUGAACUUUGGAGUACAUAGCAGCAGCAUAAGUACCUGUCCAUCUGAUCAUUUUGUGCAGUUCUACUGAAAUCACCCGAUGUAAUGAUUUGCCUGCGAGUUCAGGCUCCAAAUUACUCCUUUAUGAAAUCGGCAAACAGUAGCACAAUACCAAAUUACCAAUACAUAUGAUAGGCACAAUAAUCAGGAUAAAGACCAGUACCAACCUAUGUGAGGUAGCAUAUCAAUUACUAUUUCCUUUGACUGGAAGCCGAGAUAAGCCAAGCGACUGACAGCAAAGGAAGAAAGCAAGCGGAGAUUAGCGACUGACAGGAAAGGACGGAAGCUGUCGAGGCAAUGAAGCACCCAAAGUUUUUGUGCAGUUCCACCAAAAUCGAGCAUCCCUGUUGGCACAUAUAUUGAGAGAGUGAGAUUACUGUAAUAGUGGGACUAGUUGAUGAAACAUACACUAACAAAUAGAAGCACCCUCAUUAUCUUAAUGGGUAAAGUUAGCAACAUAGUAGUCUUGCUUAAAGAGAGGUAUUAGUUUAUUUAAUCAGUGCCAAUUAGCUCAACUCAACACUCAAAGCAUUGCCAUUUAUCAUAGGUUGCAAAACUUUAACAUGCAAAGAUAAAGGAGUUUCUCAUGACAGUAGCACGAUACAAAUAGAGAUGACAGCAAACUAAUAUGGAUGAAGGCCUUAGGCCCGUACCAACCUGAGAAAAAAGCUUAUUCAUGUAGUCCCAUAAGAGAUGAUAAAGCACUCACUGGAAUCACACAAUAGUAUAUAUUUUUGUGCACUUCAAAUGUAUGGUUGAAAUCACUCUUGUUUACCAGUGCUGAGAUUAUAUCGAAAGAUUAUCAAGAACUUCCAGCAGAGUUAAAGCACUGGCUGGGAUACAGUUCAUUGUAUUGUCUUGUGUAGUUCCACUAAAAUGUAUGAUUGGCACAACAUGAUCCAUGUUUGCACAAGUAGGAACAAGGUGAAACCUUCAUUAGCUUAGUGAGAAAGGAUAGGAAGACAUUAGCAUAUUACUAAAACAGUAGCAUCAAAUUCAUGAUGGACAAUACGCAAAACAUUGCCUCAUUGAACCAAUGGCAAUAAAUUGAGAUGCAAAACAAUAGCACUAUUAUGUCAUGACACUAAUAAUAUUCCCUCCCUGCUCCACCACAUGAUUCACCUCCAUAGACAAACAUACACACGUACAUGAUUCAACAUAGGGUCCUACUAAAGAUUUGUUUAACUCCAAUAGGAAAAUUAGGCAGUAAUAAAUUAGUGGUACUUAAGUACUCCUAAUUAAUUAAGUGAGACAGCAGAAGUGGAAGGGCUCCCUGGAGGAUCGUCUCACAUGUAAGGUAGUCAUUGCCGGAGCCCUUGAAUGGCCUCGACUGAGGCCUCUGGCUUCAGCAAGAUCGCCUUGGCACUGUUUAUUCUUCUUCUUCCUCUUCAUGCUCUAUUUCUCUUUCUCCUCACCAGUUGGUGAAACCAAGUACAUGAUUGGCCUUCUAAUUCAGAAUUGGUUUUGUCAGUGAGGGAGUACAAGUGUACUAGUAAAAAACAGCAUUAUUUUCUCAUGGCAGUCGGAAAAUAGAGAUGAACACAUGCAUUAAAUAUCAUUCUUACCUAAAGGAAGGUUAUGGCGCCAAUAUGGAUGAUGAGGAUUGGAACACAGAUCUCCCUUUGUGCAGUUCCACCAAAAUGAACCAACUGUUCCAUUCUGACAUUCCAGUUAAACAGCACAAAAGUCACUUCUUUUAAGAAGAGUUUUGUGCAGUGCACCAAAAGGUCACAACAGCAACCAGGUGAAUUGGAUAUCCCUGUUUGCACAAAAAGGCACAGAGGAAACAGUCAGAGUCUCAAACAAUUACAGGCAAAAACAUUUGGCUAAACUUGUCAUGGCUUAUAACAGUGGCAUGGCUUCAUUUUUACCAGGGACAUUAGAUUAAGAACAGCUAAGGCUGCGUUCGGUUCACAGGUUUGGUGCAGGAUUUUCGUAGGAACACAAUUCCUACGGUAUUCUUUCCCUUCCAACCGUUCGGAACACGGGAAAGGUGAAUAGUGUUUCAUAGGAAAGCUGGUCUGGUAUUACUGAUUCCAUAGGAUUAGAAACAUCCACGCGUUGCUAAUUUUUCGGGCGGAAGCCCGACGCAGGCGCUCGCUGCCAUGCGUUAGACAGGUUGUUGUGCUGUGUUGCCGGAAUAAAAAAUGAACCUAUGUGUGGUACGUGAGGUGAGGACAAGUGUAGUCACUGUGGAGCUGAAUAAGCAAAUAGCAUCUCAUACUGCCAAGCAUGCUACUCUAAAAAAAAUAUGUACAUUUCGUAGUCCAUCCGAACACAUUCCCUUGAGAGUUUCCUCCGGUUCGCUGUUCCCUAGUUUUAUACCUACAUUCCUUUCCUAUUCCUCUAUUUUCAUCAAGACCUAUGUUUUCUGCCCCUUUAUUCCGAACGGAGCCUAAAUAUUUGGUAUAAGGGCAUGGGACAGUGGGUGCACCAGCAGUCCAGCACCAUGUACGUAAACAGGGGCAUAAAGUGGUGAUUCAUAGUUUGUUGCCCCGGGAAACAAACAUCCAAGAAACAUAUCUGGGUUGGUCCCAUUUUUGUUCACUCUAGCCACCUACUCCUAUAUGUGGAUAGCAAAUCUAGUCCUGGUCAUACCACUGUGUACAACGUUACCCCUAUAUUUCCCUUUUCGACCAAGAGACCGGUUGGAUGACCAGUCUGUACUACUUUCACCCCCUUUCCUUCCUCUUUGUACCAAGUCCGAUGUACAUACUAAAUUCCCCACCCCCACUUUAUUUCUUGUUUGAACCAAGUACUCCCUCCGUCCGGAAUUACUUGUCAUCAAAAUGGAUGUGUCUAGAACUAAAAUACAUCUAGAUACAUCCAUUUCAAUGACAAGUAUUUUCGUACGGAGGGAGCACAAGAUUCGACUCCAUGAAGUAGCUUUACCUCUAACAAUAGAAGAAAAAAAUAUGAUGUUGGACCAUCCGAUCGAGAGGGGCUGAGAGGUAGAAAAUGAUGCACAUGCAGCGACGUAGCGAGCUGGGGAAGUAGAGCUAGGGAGGUUUCGAACGAAGAUAUACCUGAAGGUCGUCGGGAUGUGGAUAGGUGGGCGGCGGGAGGCCGGAUCCGCCCACAGGCAACGACGAAGGGAUCGGAGGACCUCCCGCGCCGGCGCUCGGCCAGAGAUAACGGUGCGGCCGGCAGUGGGUCUCCUCCCUCGCUGUCGAUGACGGCCUAAACGCUGCCCCUCCUCCCCUUCACCGGCGGAGAGGAUACGUCCGGAUCUGUAACCAGCGGUGAGGAUAGAAAGCCAGUGUUUUUUGAAGGGAGAAAGACAGUGUUACUACCCCUAUCUUGUUUAGAUCUGGAGAGGAUGAGAGUAUGUGAAUAGAGCAACCCUAGCAAGCAAGCGCGGAGGCUCCGGCCUAUAUAUACGUAGUGGGGUAGUUUUCCUUUUUCACUCCAUCAAAACAAUCGUUUAAAAUUGUGUACUACUACAUGCCAGGUCGCAGGUUUUUUUAGUUGUUGAUUGUUUUUUGAUAUAGCUACCUGCUUGUUCCAAGUGGUGUUACGGUGUGCCAGGUCGCACUUUGUAUCGUUCAAGUCUGGUACUACAAGUCCCUCCAUUAAAUGAACAACCACCCCCUCGUAAAAAUUGUGAACAAGCCCACGGCUAAAAUUAGCGGAAACGUGGGUUGCCCCAACAUGCAUUAUUAUUUAUAUUUUCUACUCCCUCCGUUCCUAAAUAUAAGUCUUUUUUAUUAGCCACACCUAAGACAAGAAUUUUUUUAUUAGCAAUGAACCCCACAUGUCAUAGACACAAAAAUUGUGGCAAGAUUCCCUUAGGCAAGCCAAAUUGUGUCUAACAAUUUGAUCAACUCAGGUUAGGGAAGUGUGGCAAGUGUGGGAAAAAUAAUGUGGCAACAUAAGACAAACAUAGUCACAAUCCAAACAGCCCCGUAAUUUUUUGUGACAUGCAUGAAAAUUUGGUUUGUUAAAUUUAUAGUCAAAAUUUGGCAAGGUGCAUCAAAUCAACACAUGCAAGUAUCAAAAUGAAAGUCACGGCAUGCAUGCAUGCGUUGUACUCCCUCCGUUUCCAAAUAUAAGUCUUUUUAGAGAUUGCAACAAGUGACUACAUACGAAGCAGAAUAUGUCUACUCCUACAUACGAAGUAGCCCAUUUGAAAUGUGUAAAAAGACUUAUAUCGAGUGCAGUGCUUUGAUGUGUCGCGUCAACUCGUACAAGACCGAGAAAUUCAAUUACUACGGUGUUGUUUGGUUUCUAGCCACACCUUGCCACACUUUGCCACACCUAACCUUAGGCAACUUUGACCAAGUUAGAUAGGUGUUUGGUUCUAGCCACACCUAAGGCAAGAAUUGUUUUAUGAGCAAUGAACCCCACAUGUCAUAGACACAAAAAGUGUGGCAAGAUUCCCUUAGGCAAGCCAAAGUGUGGCUAACAAUUUGAGCAACUCAACUAAGGCAAGUGUGGCUAAAAUCAUGUGGCAACAUAUGGCAAAGAUAGUCACAAUCCAAACAGCCCCUACAACGCCCUCUCCCUCGCGGACUGAGCUCUGGUGCCUUAACUGCACCUGCCUUUGGCUGCAUGACAGGAGGGCCAACCACCUGUUGGGCCCACCUGUCAUAGACGCAAAGGCAGGAGCAGUAAGUAGAAGCUUUCGCUACACGCUAUCCCUCCCGCACGAGGUCGACAGACAUGCAGCAGUGGAUUUGAUACUGUAGAAGUAGGAGUAACAUCAUUGUUCGUCUUCUCGAAGAGGCGAAGAGCCAAGCGCAACCCGAACGUGGCAGUUGCGAACGCUCGCGUGGUGCGGUUCCUUGGAGUACUAGCCAGGCUCUUGCAUGAGACAAAAUUGCUAUUGUUUAACAAUUAAACUCCAUUAUCCAUUGGUUGACACUCAUUCUGCAUAGGUCCACACGCUUAGCACCGUUUCCUCCUGGGGUCACCAAUGUUUAUUUGCUAAUUAAUAGCAUUGCAUGCAAUGAACUAGCCAUUGCAAGUCAUUAAAAGCAUGCACACCUCUCAUCUCUUAUUGGUUGAUAUGUCAAGAAACAAGAAACAAGGUAGAAGUUAAUGCACCGCGCCUAAGUGUUUUGGGACUAUUUGGUUUUUGUAAGAUGACUUACACACCUAGACGGAGGGAGUAGUACAGCCCUGUAAACCGGAAAGGAGUAUUUGCCUUUCUAGAGAUUUCAACAAGUGACUAGACUACACCGUGUGCAGGACUCCCUCCCUUCCGGUUUAUAGGGCUCAAAUCUCAAAUCUCAUGAACCAAGGCAUUUUGCGAUUGGAGGAAUGUAUCUCGUACUUUACAAAACUACCCUAAUUAAACUCAUGCAUUAAUUACGUAGUUCUCUCGUUUUCCUCUCCGCCUUGGUCGCGGUGCACAAUAUUGAGCACUCCUAUAUGACUAGCCGCUCUAUCUACAUGCGGGACAUUUCAAAGCAUCCGGGCCCGUGUGCCAUCCACCAAAUCACAGCGAGGUGCUACAGUCGAGACUCACCUGUCACCCCGGCGUGGCCGUCAUGACCCGUCAUAUCACAAAACCCACACCUUUACCAGCAGUGGUAAGGUGGCCUCCAAGUUGGACUGGACGAAGCAACCAUCAUUUCACUGGAACGCUCGUUCAAGCCCUUUCUUCCCUUUCUUAAAGAAAACCUCACUCCAGGAUACUCACUUCUGCCAUUUUUCUUCUGUACCGACGAAGGAAAGGUGGGCGAAUCAGCUAUGCUGCUAUAUUUUCAUUCCAAGAAUCUUCUUUUUGCGAAACACCGACCGAUUCUCACAUCCUAUUCUUUUCCCAUUUUCAUUGCGAUUGUGGUUUCCUUUCGAUUGCUUUUUGUUUGUCAGUCCAUUGAUGGAUCCUGGAGCACUAGGCAAAGAGUUGCCGGCGGACAACCCACUGGAGACAGCGAUCUCCAGGAAGCGAGCACCGACCAACGAGUUGACCAUGUUGGCGGGCCAACCCAUGGAGACGAAGAACUCCAAGAAACAAGCACUGGCCAAAGAGUUGAGGACGUUGGCGGACGAACUCCUCAAAGAAAGUUGGAAGAACAGCAAGGGCCCCACCGUGCCUACCCCAGGAACUCUGAUUGCCACCUAUGUGAGGCUCAAGACCGAGUUUGAGGAGAUAGUCGCCGUUGAGAAGCAGUAUUCCCCUGUCAAGGUGAUGGCCCCCAUCGAGGACGAGGAGAUGGCCCCCGGAGGGAUGAGAUCCCCCGGUGAGCUGCACAACGUAAAAAAUAAUGGCUUAUUACCAUAGUUGUGGUUUUUGAUUAUUUGCAAUGUGCUUGCUAAUAUGUUAGGGUUGUGCAGGUGCUGGUGGACGUCCUUGAUGAUUCCGAUGUCGUGGCCCGUCCUGUUGGCAUCGCCCUGGAGAUCGAUUCCGAUGCCGCUGUCCAUCAUGUGGACAUCGCCCCAGAGAUCGAUUCCGAUGUUGCGGUCAGUCCUGUGGACAUCGCCCCAGAAAUCGAUUCCCAUGCCGCUGUCCGUGCUGUGGUCAUUGCCCGAGAGAUCGAUGACAAGAAAUAGUUGGUCGCGCUAAUCCUUCAGGGUAGUUUGCAUUGCCCUGUGUUUAAUUACCAGAACGAUGCAUGUUAUCAAACCAUCUUAGGGCUAGUGCACUGUCUUGUGUGGGCGGAUCUUGCUACUUUUGUUUGAUAGUGAAUCAUGCGAUGAAUCAUGCGAACCCUCUCUGAGUUAUGGAAACAGAUGUAUCCUCACCAUCUUUUGAUGUAAUAUAUGGCAUGCUUAGAUGUAAGUUUGAACUGUUUAUCAUAUCAGUAGGGCUUGUUUGAUGAUUUUUAGUGUUAGUAGGCUAGCUACUGUGCGAGCUAUAGUACUUGCAAAACACUCACCGAAGAGAAACAUUGGGGCUGAUGAGCUCGUGGUACGCUUAUACUUAUCCCUCGUCGAUCAACCAAUAGCCCUAGCUCCUAAAAUUGUAGGCUUAGCGAUCGAUCAGACAAUAGUCGACAUACAUUCAGGCCUCAUUUGGUUCAUAGGGUAGGAAAAUCGUAGAAAAAGUACAGAGAACGUGCAACACAAAAUCAUAGCAGUGCAGAGACGUACUCCCUCCGUUCCAAAAUAGUAGAUGACCUAGGCGGGCUAGUUUGGCCUAGUGGGUUUCAGUGAUAUGACGUGGUACAGUGUCGUCCAGUCUUCGCGUGUGGUAGCAGUAUUGCGGGUACAGUAAGUUUUCUUGAAGAAGCGGAAUUCAACGAAGUCAUGAUGGUUCCUUCGUCCGAACAACUUACAGUGGGAAAGGUUGGGCCUGCGAUACGACCGGUGUAGACCAGGAUAAUUUUGUGCAUGGUAGAUGGACCAGGAUGGUCGACGUCCCACAUGUCGGCGAAUGAAAGUAUUCUUUCCGAUAUAGAGGAUGAGCAACGAGUAUUCAUUGUUUAUUUUUGAUGAAAGCUAUUGUCUCCACUGUUACGACGGAGGAGUGUGAAACACGGCAGCCGAGUGAACUUGACACGUGCACCACUCCCUCCUUCCUCAUGUAAUGCCCAGGUUACAACUUUUUCUCACUUUCUCUCUAUCUAUUUCCUCUCAAAAAAAAUUUACCUUUCUUUUUUUAAGACACAAUUGUUUUUAUGCCUUUUUUAGAAUUAUUUUUUUAUACCUAGGAGCACGUGUAGAGACGGGAUCUUGCAGAGCCCACUCCUUGACUUUGUCAAUGCCUCUCUCUCCUCCACAUAAGGAGUACUACUUGCUAUGCAUGCAUGCGGCGGGCAGCUGGCGUCUUGAGGGGCCAGGGCGGUGAGAGCGGGCUCCGGAAGCGGUCCGGACUCCAGCAUGGCCCACCUCACAUUAUCACCAUAUAUUUCUUGGAGUCCGUGCGCGGUGGGCGGGCGGUCUCUUCUCCCUCCCCCGUGUCUCUCUUCUCAGUCGACGCCCGCCGAGCGAUUAGAUUUCGGCUAUCGACAGUUUAUUCAAUUACGGUCCCACAUGUCAGUGAAAUUGCAAGACAACGCGUGUCCCCUCUGGUGAGCGGCGUGCGAGCCGGACUGUCGGGGUUGCGACGCGUACGAGUCGUAAGUGUGCCGCCUUUUCCUUUAGAACUUGCGAAGCGUAACAUUUUCGCGCGAUUGAUCGAUAGAAAUCCAGAACAAAAUGACAAGGGCGGUGCUUUCCCGGUCGUUAGGCGGGCUAGUUCGAGUGAUAUGACGUGCUACAGUGCCGUCCACUUGCUCCAUUUUUAUGUAAGCAAGAGUUUACACUCUUACGCGGGAGGAGUGCGAAACACCGCGGAUCUGAUUUUGAUCGAGGGAUAACUGUUCCCUGCCAAAUAAUGGAGGAUUGUUAGCGAUUAUAGCAUGAUAGUUAGGGCAUCUCCAGCGCUGGCCCACAAAUUUACACCGGCAUCUGUCCGAGGACACUGAUGGAUGCCAUCCGAUGCUGCCCGCAUACCUUUCGACAACUAUAUGAACUAACCGGACGAAAUUCGUGCAAACAAAGCAAAUUUCAAAUUAACCGGAUGAAAUUCAUUACAUUUUGAAAACUUCUCCUACAAACUGGACGAAAUUCAUUACAUAUUUCGCACAAACCUUACUAAAAUCUACUAUAAACCUAAUCUAAACGAUCGCCGGCGCCCGACCACCAUGUCCGGCCAUGAACCCGAGGAAGCCGGCCAUUGCCUUUGCCUCCUCCUCAUCCGCCUCGAUAACCUCCUCCUCCAGAGCGGCGGCGACCUACCGUGUACUACUCUUCCUCGCUGCCGGCUGCGCCCGCGCACGCGCGCCGGCUUCGUGGUCGUGGCGGCGGAGGGCGGCCGGGGGGUGCCGGCGAUCUCCUUCGUUUGCUCCUGCGACAGUACGUCGAAGAGAGCUUUGGAGCGCGCCCAGAGCGGAGCCGCUGAUGUCCCUCGUCUGCUCCUGUGACAGUACGUCCAAGAGAGCUUCGAAGCGCCAGGAGGCCAUGGUUGAAGUGGUGCCGACAGAAGGAAGGGACCAGAGGAGAAUAAGUGUGGGUCUUUGGCUAUGGCUGGGAGCUGGGGCUCAAGUUAAUAUAGCGGGCGAAUGGCAAUGAGCCGCGGCAGACGAAUGGACAACUGGCGCCGGAGUAGGUUCAUCAGGCGUGAAUGCGGACGCUGCUUCAGUGACUUAACUGCAGAUGCAUUUGGGUUACUGACAUGUGGGCCCAACGGGCAUCUGGCCCGCAUGUCAGUGACACACCAAUUACACCUGCAGUUAAGUCCGGUGAAUGCGGCAUUGACAUUCUGGAGAGACGGUGACCGUUUCAGGCGGGAAGCGCGCGCUAACGAUGGAAAGGGUUUCGGUGUGCAGUGGCACUAAGAUCGGUCGCUCACGAUAGUACAUACUCCGUACCAUACUACCAUAGUACCCUCUCUAGCUUAGGCUGAUUUAUAGAUUGUCGUUGUGAUGGACGAUAUACAUGAGCAAGGCGGUCCGAGUAUGACCGUUGGUGUUGAGCCAGGUGAAUACAUGCUCGGCGUUCGUGUAGGCCUCCAUCAAACGUCUAAACAGUAAUGUCAGGCACCGCCGGGGCGCGCAGGUGAUGGGCUCGCCGUUUGCAUUGCGCCAUGAGCAGGACUUUGAUUUAGAGGGCGACAUGCAUGCAUUAGCAUGCUUUGACAGCGUGAGCGUGAGUGUCUGAUGCGAAGUAUUUCAUUUUCAUUUGGCUGACGAGGGUGCGUUGCAGCGACGAGUCUGUGGUUUGAUUCCCCACAUUGCGCAUAAUUUUGGUUUUUACAGUAUUUCUUUCUCCAUUGACACGUAGGCCCGCGUAGAUAGAUAAAGAACACGAGCUGAUGAGGCGCAUGCGGACUGUUCGACUGGUCAACCAGACAAAUACGGAGCUAUACGCUGAGCCAGUGACCGUAUAAUCACCAUAUCUCGUAUACAAUGAUCAAAGUGAGCUAUCAAGACAAGUUCGAUGACCGCCAAUGCAUUUUACUUGGUAAUAAAUGACCAGGAUUGAAGGGGAAUCCAAAUUUUCUUCGUCUUCUGUCCUUGAGCUCUUGACAAACCAAUGCACUAUACGGCUGCCCGGCCACUCCACCCCAGAGCUCUCACCAAGCGUUGUUCAUGCCACCGCGCUGCACACUAACCGGUAAGGCAGCGAUGGCAUCCCGCCACGCCGAGUUCCUCGCCACCCACGACCGCACACAAAAUGGUAGGAAAGCGAUGGCAUCCCGCCGUGCCGAGUUCAUCGCUGCUCGCGACCUCACAACUAUUUGGGAGGAAUCUUAAGAUGCCAAGGCCGAAUGGGCGGUAGAGCAAGAGGCGGCCAAAGCCGCACAGAGGGAGCGGAAAAGUCAGAAAGCACUCAAGAAAAGAGAGGCCCACCGCCGCAAGAAAGAAAAGGACGCACGCGCUGCUGCGGAGAGGUCGGCGGAGAUCCAAGCACGGUGGGGUGUCGCCGACAAAGCCGGGAAGGAGAACGACGGCGUCUGGCCAGCAUGUGAGAAGUAGUAGUACUAGUAGUUAGUGUGUGUGUUUGUGCCUGAGUACGAGCAUGUACCAAUACUACUAGUUACUACUGUAGUUUUUAGAGAAAAUUACCAGUACAUUAGCCUAGACUAAAUGGAAAAAUUCCUAUCCUAAGCAUCAAAUGGCAUCUCUUUCUCUAUAGGAAUUGAGAUGCAUGUCAUCUCACUUCCUAUGAUUUUCAUAUUCCUAUCCUAUGAACGAAAGGAGGCCUCUGUUGGAGUAACUACUGUAGCUAGCAGUACUGUUGGCACAGUAGUUUUCUUCAAGAAGCGGAAUUCAAGGAAGUCAUGAUGGUUCCUUCGUACGAGCAACUUCAAAGUGGGAAGUGGGCCUGUGAUUUGACGGCUCAUUAGUCAUUGUUACUAUGGCGCGACGACCUGGGUGACUCUCCCUUGGAGUUCUGCGUGCAUGGCAAGUGGACCAGGAUGGUCGACGUCCCACAUGUUGGCAAACGGAAGUAUUCUUUCCGAUAUCGAGGAGCAAGGAAACCGCGUGGUAUAGUAUCACUGCUGAUUGGUUCGCAAAAAAAAAAUAGUAUCACUGCCGAUUUAUAAUUAUUUUUUAUUUUUGAUGAAUGCUAGUGUUUCAACUCUUAUGACGAAGGGUACCAAACACGGCACGUGCUGGAUGUCCCACACGUCAGCGAAAGGAGUGGGACAUGAACAACGUGGUAGAGCCCAGCGUAAAAAAACAGCGUGCUAGAGCGUCUCCACUUCUUUAGCUUCUAGAUCGGAGACCACACGUAGUAGUACUUAGUGGUAUGAACGAUACAAAGUGCGACCUGGAGAGAAAGACACGUCUAGUUGGAAGGUCUCGGGGCAUACACGUAAACAAAUAUAAAAGUUAAUAUGUGCCUCCAACUAAUAUAGUAGUAGUAGAGUACUUAGGCACGUACUCCAUAACAUCACCGUGCAUUGCACGUACAACAUUUAGUGGUAGUACGUAGUAAGAGACAAAUGCCGCCCAAGAGUUCCCUUCUCGACCUACUUUUGGGUGUUUGGUAGAGUGUAUGGAGGGUGCAUGAGUCCACACUAAUUUAGCACAAAUACACUAGAAGCAUGCAUGAAGAGAGCAUGCAUGAAGAGGGGUGUUGAGUUGAGCAUGCAUGAAGAGGGAACAACUAUGCUAAGACGAGAACGCAACCAAACACACCCUAUAUGCCACGCAUGUUCAUACCAUUUGUGCCUUUCUACUUCACUUACUGCGCUACAUUACUCAAGUUCGUACGUCCACUCCUGGGUACAUGUCCGUCUCGUAGUUCCAGUCCCAAGUGUUCUUCAUAUAGAUGGAACGAUCCUUGCAUAACAUGCGCGCCUUGAUGCUAGAUGUCUCGCGUGUUGGCAAAAGGAUGAACAAAGCUCACGUAGAAAAUAGAGUGGAAGAACAUAGAUUCCGGACGACCGAGAAGGAGCAAGGAACCUCGUGGUGGAGCGUCUGCACUCAUAAUAUUUAAUAUUAUUCAGCGAUGUAAAAUUAACCAAUCAUCUCCACAGUGGACUGGAAGAGUACGAAACACGGCAGCCCAGUGUAGUUACAUCAUACUAGUACACGGCUAACCCACGCUAUCACCAUAUUUCUUGGCUUCCGUGCGACACCUAUCUCUAGUAAUCCAGCAGCCUGUAUCGCUUCUCCCUCCCCGUCUCUAUCAAAGUGCGGCGGGCUGGCGUUUCUGCCGUCUAUUGAGGUCGGUUAACUAUCACAUGUUAGCAACAUGCCAAGAGCAUUCUAAAAAAAAUCCUUUCAUGUUCCGUUUUCAAAAAGAAAAAAAUCCUUUCACGUACGAAUUUGCCGGUAUGCUUUGAGCAACUUGCAUGUCCUAUACUGCUCCUGUUUGAUACUCUAACUUAGCUAGAGGUUAGACUAACUCAUGACUAACCCUGAACUAACUAUAGCCAAAGAGGUGUUUGGGUGACAGCGUUAGAUUGACAAUAAAUGCACUUCAUGGAGAGAGAAAAGUGAUUUUUCAGUGGUCCCAAUGAGAACUAUCUCCAGUUAGCACCUCUUGGGUGGGAUAGUUUUUUUUUGGUGGGUUCGGUGCAACUUGCUCCAAUUUAAACCCUCAUGCUUGGAUACUUUAGGGCUAUUUGAGCCCCAACUAGCUCAAUCUAACUCUAACCCAUGGAUCCAAACAGGGCCUAUGGCCAGUCUCGACGCGGAGCAGUCGCGUGCACCUGGAAGCGGCGCUCUCUCGGCCGUCGCGCCACUUCAAAGCCGGCGCCAGUGAGAGGUCGCCUCCGCUCUGGCCGGCAUUAAUGCGGCACCGACGCUCCAGGGAGACACUGACCGUUUCACGCGGGAAGCGUGUGCUGGCAAGGGAGUAUAGGUUUUGAACCGUUUCAGGUGUAGUACUGGUAGUUUGCAAAACUACUCAAUUAUUGCACUCAGUUUCCUAAGAAAUUGUGGUAAAAAACAUUACUCCACAGCCCGCUUCCCUUCUCCUUCCUCUUCCACCGCCCGCGCACGUCCGCGGGAAGCAACCGGUCAACCCUUAUAUAGGAGUGCUAGCACAAAAAGAUGCAUGCAUGGCCACUAAAAUUUCCAUAUUAAAGCGCCACUCCGGCGGGAGUAUGGCGUAUGUUGUUACCUUCGGCCGGUCCAUGGCUAUCGGGCGACGGCGACCAGAGAAGAGGCGGCAGGAGGGGAAUGAAUGCAGCUACUGUUUGGGUUCGCCUUCCGGCUUAAAUAAAUGCGCAGCAUCACAUGUACCCGCGGGUGCACAAAUUGUAACAUACGUGUCUGCUUAAGUGGGCGUCACGUAACUGGUGUGUGUGUGAGAGAGAUUCUGAGAGACAGAGUGCGUGUGUGCGACUCUACUCUUCGGACAUGUACUCAACCUUUUGCAUCGGGAUAUAAGUAUAAUGGUAUUUACUUUAGCUAGUGAUUUACGUGGCCAUAUUAACGUGGUUGUGUCAAAAAACUGUCACUUCCUGCUCGUGAUUUGCGUUAUAUAAUUACAAGCAAGAUUCUCGUGCAUUGCACGGAACAUCAAUAUGCAUUUUUUUUACAGAACACCUGUUGUGAUUGACCCAUGCAGGAGUAAUCCCAUGUGUAAAAACUAAUGAUAUCUCGAGAAUUUUAUCGGAAAACUUGUAUCUCGAGAAUGUCAUCAAAAAAAAUGAAAGAUGAGAGAUAAGGCGAGGAGGAGUGGAGCGUGGUGGUGACUGGUGGUCGGAAUGGGCGGAGGCAUGGGGAUGGACGGCGCCGGCAGGCGACAGCGGCCACCAUGCAUGCUAGAUUGUUCCAGAGACUUAUUCCUUUUUUAAUUGCUGAGCAAUGAGGUUGCGGGAGAUAAUGAUGUGGAGAGAGGUGCGGGUAUCUUUUGUAAAAUUAUCAUAGUUUGCUUUCUAUCCUCAGAUAUAGAUCAUACGGUCUGUAUUACAAGAUGGCAGGCACACCAUCACCGCCAACUCAUUUUUUUAUAAGGGUACAGAUGAUAAGUUUGCUGACUACUAAAGUAAAGUGGAUUUUGUCCAUGUUAUGCAAGUAAAUAAAGGUGAUUGUUUAUCAUACGGGUAAGGUUGGAUGAAGGGUGGUAGGAACAAAUGCUCCGCCUAGAGCAUGUGUGUGUGAGAUGGAGUCUUAGUGUGUGUGGGGUGUGUGUGUGUGUGUGAGAGAGAGAGAGGAGAGAGAUGGAGUCUUAGUUUGUGUGUGUGUGUGAGAGAGAGAGAGAGAGAGAGAGAUGGAGUCUUAGUGUGUGUGUGGGGGGUGCGUGCGUGCGUGUGUGUGUGUGUGUUUGUGUGUGUGUGUGAGAGAGAGAGAUGGAGUCUUAGUGUGUGUGGGGGGGUGCAUGUGUGUGUGUGUGUGUGCGUGUGUGUGUCGCGGGGUCCUCUGUGGCGGAUGUAAUUUAAGUGUGCAUGGCUUCAUCAUAGAGAGGUGAUGUGUAUGGCAGAGGCCACCAACGAUGGGGUGCGAGAGAGAAAAUGCCCGUAGAGAGGGAAGAGAAGGUGUGUGCGCGUGAGAGGAGUCGACAUCGAGAGAACGUGUUUGUUCGAGAGACACCGAGGAAGACUACUAUAUAUCGAUGGUGCAUGUAGGCGGGAAUUAAACAAAGGGAUGGUCUUAUUGGUUUCGGGGAUAUAGGGGAAGAGUGAGAGGCGGGGGGUAGCUAGAAGGAGAUUGUUAAGUGUGAGUGUGUGUUUUACCCAUCCAGGCGGAAGUUAUGUGCACAAAAGAGGAGAACGAUUCGAUGUGGCGUUAGGAUUGAGGGUAAUUAACUACGUAUGGAGACAUAGAGACCUUGAACGUGCAUGUGUGAGAGGUAUACAUGUAUACGUGGGAUGUGUGUGUGUGCGCGCGCGCAUGAUCGAGUUAAAAGAAAGAAGACAUAAGUCAUAAGAUCAACGACAUGGGAGAGAUGGAUCGGUAUGACAAUAUGCAUGCAUGUGAGAAUGCAGGGAAGAAGGCCCGACAAUUGAGCAUGUGUUUUUGUCUUUAAGAGAUAGUGGCGUGGGCUGGAGCAUGCAUCUAUGGCGAGCAGAGGGAGUGAGGCGCAACGAUUGUGCAAAAGAGACCAACCUAUAAAUGCAUAUGUAUGGAGAGACAUAUACAGUGCGGGUGAUAGGAAGCAAGACUCCGUGCGAGAAAGAAAUGUUGACGGAGAAACUACAGAUAGAUACAGAGAUGGAGAUGCUAGCUAGAGGGACAUCCGCUAGUUUAGGUGUUGGAAAUGACCGUCGGGUGGUUCAAAGGGUGAAGUUAUAUAUGUGUGUGAGAGGGCACUUGACUGCAUGUAGAGAGAAACAUAUGUAGUGUGCGUGAUAGGAAUCAAGAGUGAGGGCGAGAAAGAAGGUUGAUGGAGAAACAGAUAAAUAGAAAGAUAAAGAUGCUAGCUAGUGUGCGUUAGAGAUAGGAGUCGAGUGGAUCAGAAGGCUGGGUUAUGUGUGUGGGUGUGAGAGAGAUUGAGAGAGGGUGCAUGUGAGUCACAUAAAAACAGAUAUCAGAGAGAAAUGAGAUCCAGAGAGACGGAGUUUUGUGUCUGCGAGAGAGAAAGAUAUUUCACAACGAGAGUGAUAGCUAGAGAGACAUACGAGGGAACGCAAGAUAUCUCUAGGGAGAGAGGGUGUGUGUGAGUGACAUACAAGAGAACAAUGGAGAAAUAUGAGACCCUGGGAGACAGAGUUUGUGUUUGUGUGUGAGAAAGAGAUAUUGAAGAGGAAGAGUCGUAGGUUCUCAUAUCUAAGGAGCGAAAGACAUCUCUGUAUGAGGGGUGUGCGAGUGGCACACAUGGGAAUAGUAGAGAGAAAUGAGACCCCGGGAGACAAAGUUUUGUGUUUGUGUGAGAGAAAGAGAUUCCACAUGGAGAAUCAUAGUUAGAGACACAUAGCAGGGAGCGAGAUAUACUUAGAGAGAGAUAGAGUGAUGAAGGUCGAGGGAGAGAGUACCAUCAGUGUGUUACGGAGAUAAAAGAUCAUUGUCGACAUACAGGUAGCACGAGAGAUACCUGAGAGACGAUGAACGCGUAUAGGUCCAGAGAGAUAGUCCUAUAUAAGCAUGAGUGAUAGCUAUAUGAGACGAAUAUCUGGAUUAAAGGGGAUUCAAAUAUUUAAACUGGGGAUCACGACAUCGAUAAUAUCAUAACGCAAAUUGGUGUAUCAAACAUGCAUAUUCAUUUGAAUUUGGGCACACGUGUAAUGUUAUAUAGUUUAUCAAUAUUGGUGAUCCAUAGAUUCUUCAAUUACAAACGAUGCAUGGUUUAUAUGCAAUUAAUGUCUAAACGGGAUUACACUAUAUGUUGCGUGUGUGAAACACAUUAUACAUGUUUGAGAAGUAAAAAAAACCGCAUGAAACACACAUUAAUUGGAGACAGUUAGCGAGGAAUGCAUACAUUGGAUUUCAACAUAAAGUGGUUUCAAAUAUUUGAAAAUCCAAAUUGAUGGAUACAACCUUAUGAAUCUGAGAUCAUGCCAUUUGUAAACCAUAUUUAUGUAUAAAUGGUAUUGUGCUUUUGAAAGUAUAUAUAAAAAAUGAUGUAUAUAGAAUGUAAUUCCAAUUGAAAAUGGAUCCCGCCCGGAAAAAAAAUAGAAUACAAACGGGAUUCGAAUUGAGUUGGCACGGUAAACAUGCACUCUGCAAAAUUUGAACGAAGCGGGGAAAGUCGCAGUAACUGCCCGAAACCAAAAUCUGCGAGAUGGAAAUCACUACUGCCUAUCCCUGCUACGCAAAGCCUAUGUGCUGGAUUUCUAUAGGUUUCGAUAGGGGUAGGUUUGUAAUUUCACCCAAACGUGACGUAACCGCCUCUCACCCGGAUUCAUACACGGUGGGCGCCAAAACACAGUGUGUCCUCGGCCGAAAUUGACUCCCUCCCCGAUUCAUAUUCAUACACGGUGGGCGCCAAAAACAAACUCUCGUCGGCAAAUAUUCGGUGUAUGCGAGAUUACCGUCCUAUCCCCAACCGACUAAUGUUGCUGUGAUGUAGUAGAAAUUUGAAACGGGGGCUAAGUUUGUAAAUUUCCUCGCAUUUGAGACAAGCGCGCCCUGAAUACAUGGUUCCCCCCUUCCUCUCUACCUCCCUUUUCCCCAUUCGUACUCCGUGGGCGCCAAAACACCCUCUCCACCCCACCCUCCUCCGUUCGCCGCCGUCCGCCACCCCAUCCACCGCCGUCCUCCUCCACCAUGCCGGAGCUGAUACCCCGACGCCGCCGUCCAUUACAAGAGAUCGACCUCUCUCAUCCACGGCUUCGGACCGGGAUCCUUGCAUCCUGUCCUCUCGCUUCAUCCCCGCCGUCGUCCACCUUGCCGGCGCCGCUCCUACGACCGUCUCGUCCACCGCGCCCCGCCGCCACCGUCUACCCUCCUAGAUCUGCUUCCACGCCGCCGACAACCAUCGCUACCGCAGCACCGUCAAAUUCUCAGCAGAUGCGUACACGGCGCCGCACCAGAGGCGGUACUCUUUCGUAUCUGCUCAACUUAUUUAUCGCAGCAAGAAAAUAGAUCGCCACUGCUUUACUCUGAUUUCUUGUCUUGGUUGCGAAGUUGCCUUUGUCCGGUUUGCACCUUCAGAUCCGCCAUGGCACGCUCAACACUAUACUCCCAAUGCUUAUGGUUUUCCCCUUUUAUAUUCCACACUAGUUAAAUCACAGUAGACUAAAUUUCAAAAUUGGGUCAGUCGAUUUUUCAGAGCUCGCCGGAGUUUGCCGGUGCGAUCGAAGGGGCUCGGGUGGUUGUGGGGCCUCGCCGAACGAAGAAAACUCGACGCGGGUGGGGGUUGGGGCGGGGGUGGGGGUGGCCGAGGAACACAGGCGGUGGGGGCCGGCGGCCCGUGCGGUGUUCUGUAUGGGAAGAAUCAGAGACGAGGAAGAAGAAGGGUUAGGAGACGUAGGAUCUUCAUCCAACCGCCUGAAAUGGUCGAGAGACAGCUGGGAGUUGCAUUCUUAAUGCGCUCUGGUUCAUCAUGUGUGGGCACUGCGCAACCAACAUUUUAUUAUCCAAAAUCUGCUUGCUCUUCUUUACCAUGUUCCUCUUCCGUUCUUCUUUAAUAUGUACUCUCUCCGUUCCUAAAUACAAGUCUUUGUAUAGAUUCCACCAUGGACUACAUAUGGAGCAAAAUGAGUGAAUCUACACUCUAAAAUGUAUCUGGAUACAUCUGUAUGUGAUCCAUAGUGGAAAUCUCUACUAAGACUUAUAUUUUGGAACGGAGGGAGUAUGAUUGUAGUACAGUAUGUUCCUUGUACUGAAGAUGAGCAGGGACAUUUGCAGUGUGGAGGUCUAUACGGUGGGUUGUGAUGGACACUUUGAGCCUCUUUGAUUCGUAGGAUCUUGUAAACAUAGGAAUAUGAUUUGUAGUGGCCUGCCCACUUGAAUCCUAUAAGAAUAGCAAGGAAAUGCGGGGAGCUGUGUCACCUUUGAGAGUUACACUGAUAUUAACAGUACCGCACCUUCACUUUGAUGGCAAGUCUAUAAACGAAUUUCCGGUGAAGUCUCCUGUGCUAAAUUUAGAAGACAUUGAAUGGAAAAACCUUGUUAUGCACUGGUCUCGUUCCUAGGAUGAGAUGCUAUCUAUGAAAUCACAUGACAAUUUGAACUUCUACUUUUCCGCAUGUGCCUUACGGAUCUUUUUUGCAGGAAAUUUGCUCGAAGAAGAAUUCCGGUUUGACAAGAACGACAGGAUAUCGCAAAUAUGCUGCCUGCUGCUUUGCUCUUGUUAGUACCUAUUGUCCUGUAUCACUGUACUUGCAUACAUACCUGGUUCAUUAUGUGACAGCAGUAUGCAUGAUAGCUUGCUUAUCAAUUGUUCGCUCCAAAUUAUUUGAUCUGUAUGAAUGGUUACAUUAGUGUAGAAUAUAUCCAAUGCCAAUGUUUUUUAGCUCUGCAUUGUUCUUGUAAGUACAUGUUGUCCUUUAUCAGUGUACUUAUAAUGACAGGUAAUUUUUCAUGUACCAUCACUCUGCAACUUAUUUUCCUUUGCCCUCCAUUUUGUACACAUCAAAUCUAUAUUUACUCUUACCAUAAGGUUGGUACUGAAGAAGUUUAGCUGUGCAUUGCUCUUGGCUUUACCUUUUGCCUGUAUCGCUGCACUUACAUUUAUAGCUACUUGGUUAUGUAGCAUCACUCUUCAUCUUAUCUUAAAUAUUCUCCAUUUUUUGUAUAUUAUCACAUCUAUAUUUACUCUUAACAAAAUGUAGAAUAAAGGCAAUGCUUUUGAAGAAGAUUCUGUGGUAAACUUCUUGAAUUGCACCCCCCAUCAGCAUGGACAAGGCCUUUAUAGAGCCUGUCUUCACCAAUAAUGUAAGUUUGUCCAUCUCAAGCCUUCAAACUUUGUUGUAUAUAUUUGGUUAGGCAUGACUGCAACAGCUGUUUAUUUUUGGUGUUUGCAUCAAAUUGCUUGUUUAAAGUUUAUUAUGUAGUUCAUAAACAAAAGUUUGUCCUUUCUCAAUUUAAGUUUUCAGUUGUACAACCAAGUUCCUUCUUCAUACCAUGUAAAUUAAACUAUACAGAGCAAGUGAUCUUCUUUUGCACUGCAUGUAUGCUUCUGUUCUUCAUCCGUAAUCCAGUGGUGUGGUGAACCUACCCACUACAGCACAAUGUCAUAUUCUGCAAUGUCUUAACUAUGAACAAUGUCAUAUCAUUCUACUAUUAUUUAAACCGUCUCUUUAUUUGCCAAUCUAAAAUGGUAUAAAUUGACAGCACACUAACCAUUGAUACUUAUGAGUUCUUGAUCUGUAAUCCAGUGGUGUCGUGAAGCUGCCAACUCCUUCACAAUGUCAUUUCCUGCCAUGUCUUGACCUGAACAAUACCAUAUUGUGUUAAUGCAAUUUUAAACUGUGUCACUUUAUUCGUCAGUAAGAAAUGUGAUGAAUUGUCAGCACUGAUACUUUUAUGUACAAAACCUGUCAUCUGUCUGCUUGUUUAUCUUUCAGAGUGAGGAAGAUAUAAGUGUUGAACAAGCACAGUCUCAUCAUCUUGCUCAGCUGCUUGCGCUGCAGCUCCCCAGCAGGGCUAACCUUUCUUGAACUCUAUUGAAGUGCUGUCGGUUUUGUAUAUUAUUUUGUCGGCGUGUUUAUUUGCACUAGUGGCGAUCUUUGAUGCCCAGUGUAUGUAAUCUGCUGUCUACUUGUGCUUUAUUAUCAUAGUGGCGAACUUUGAUGCCCAGUGGAUGUAAUAUGCCGUAAUUUCUUUAUUGUAUAGUCUAGGUUUUUUCUUAUUCAUGAUGUUGCAGUUAUUUUACUGUAUAUAUAUCCUGUCUUCACAGUAAACCGGCCAAACCGUAAAAUUACGGUACAUAAUCGGGCCGUCAUGCAAUCACGAUGUAGGUUGGGCCUGAAACGUGCCGAACAGCUCACGGGCCGGCAGCAGCCCGAAAUGAACCCCGGCCCAUGAUUGUGCGAAUCAAAUCACGGGCUUUUAAUAGGCCAAAAUUGUCUCGGUCCUUGUUUGGCCCAAUCAGAUAUUGGCUGCGAGCAGGCCGGAUGCAAACCGGGCCGUAGUUAGGCCCAACUAUAUGACGGGCUUUUAACAGGCCGAAAUUAAUAUAGGGCCGAAAUGUUAAACGGGCCCUUAACAGGCCAAAACUAAUAUCAGGCCGAAUUACUAAGUGGGCCUUUAGCAAGUGGGCCCAAAAGCAUAGUGUCCAGUUGAUGGGCCGAAUCUGAUAUGGGCCAUAAUUGAGCCCAAAGCCUCUUAAAGGGCCGGACCUGAUCUGGGCCGUAAUUUGGCCCAGAACGUGGUAGGCUUUUAACGGGCCGGAUCUCAUAUGGGCCACUAUUAGGCCCGGAGCGUGGCAGGCCAUUAAUGGACCGGAUCAAAUAUGGGCCGGCAUUUGGCCCAAAACAUGGCAGCCAGUUAAUGGGCCGGCCUACUAGGGUCCUCAAAAUCUUGUGGGCCUAUAGCUGGGCCGGCCCAUUAAUGUCGGCGAAAUCUCAUGGGCCUUUAGCUGGGCCGACCCAUUAUGAUCCGCAAGAAUCUUGUGGGCCUUUACCUGGGCCGGCCCAUUAUGGCACACAAAAUCUUGUGGGCCUUUACCUGGGCCGGCCCAUUAUGGCCCACAAAAUCUUGUGGGCCUUUAGCUGGGCCAGCCCAUUAUGGUCCGCAAAAUAUCAUGGGCCUUUAGCUGGGUCGGCCCAUUAUGGUCCGCAAAAUCUUGUGGGCCUUCAGUUGGGCCGGCCCAUUUAAACUUGAUGGGCCGGUCCACGUGUCAACAUAUCAUAGGCGCGUCUCGCCCAUUGGAUGAGUGACACCUGUGCCAACGCGGACCUGACACGUGUCUCCUCCAGCCAAUGAUGAUUUUACACGUGGAAAAUCCCCAUUGGUCGGGGCUGUUUAACGGGUUAUUGGAUCCAAAACCCGACCCGAUAGCUUAACGGCGUUCCGUUACGGUGGAUGCCACGUGCCGGUCACCCUUGACGAAAGCACUUCUGUGACGCGCGAUUUAUCGUCAUGGAAGUGGACACUUUCGUGAUGAUAAUUUUGGUAAUGUCAUGGAACACUUCUACGACAGCACAUGUAUGACUAUCUUGAUUCUGUCAUAAAUUUGUCAUGGAUGUACAUGCAUGACAAAAAACGCGACCUACUGUGACAAACACAUAUCAUCACGAAAGUGUAUUUUUUUUGUAGUGUCAUAUGCUGACUGCCUUCAUACAAGAAGAGAAAUGGAAAUUUGAAAAGGCCAGGUAGAUCAAGAAAGCGCAGUAUAAGAAGGAGCAUUUUCUGAAGAAACACGUUGUCUCUAGGACAACUGAAGAACUUGUCAAUAUUCAAUCUGAGAUCAAGAAACUCAGUGAUGAAUUUGACGUAUACCGCGCUGACUGGCUUGGAGCCAAAGUCCAUUUUGUGAAGUUGACAGAGAAGUUCACUCCAAAUGUUGCAGCUCCGUCGCAACCAGAAAUUCCUCAGGCUGAAGCAUCUGCUCAGCCGACUGAAGAACAUGCCAGCACCGCUGAUGACAUUCAGGCUGCUGAAGAAAAUGUGAGUUCCAGGGCUGAUGACUGCAUUCCAGCCGCUGAUGAAAUUGUCAGGGCAUCCACUAGUGGUUUGCCUGAAGAAAAUGAAGAGGUCAGGGCAACUGCAUCAGUUGUGCCUGAAGAAACUCAACCAAAUUCCUCUGCUCCUCCUGCGCCUACCCCAACUCCGAUCCUUCCAUCUGCUUCACCUGUGAAGAAGACUAAGGCUGCAGAGCGUGCAGCAGUGAAGAAAAGGAAGGCAUCAACUUCAUCAGAUUCUUCAGCUCCGAAGAAGAUGAAGUCUUUGACCAGCUCGUUUGCAAACCCCAUUGAUGUUGUUCCUAUCUCAACCAUGCCAUCAAAGGACCUUGUUCCUUAUGAUGAAGAAUAUGUGAUUCCUAGCGAAUUCGAUGAAGAAAAUUCUUUUGCUGCUUCGUCAAAGCAGUUGGAUGAAGAAAUUGAAGUGGAUGCACUCCCUUCAACUCCAGUUGUUUCCUCGCCUAUGCCUCAGUUUACUGCUGAAGAGGCCGGCGUCGAAGAAAUGGAAGAUGAGGAUGUGGACAUUGGUUGUACCACACCUGUGCUGAAUGAUGACUUUUGGGAAAGUCAACACCCCAUCUCUCCACUGUUCACACCGUUGCAACAGAUUCCUCAGUCCCCAGUAACUACAGUUCAAGUGGGAUCUGAUGAACCACAUGCCACACCGUCUGUCCAUGAAGAAAUUCCAGCCACUAGUGUUGAAGAAAAUGUAAAUGAAGAAUUGAAGACCCAGGCUGUCACUGAAGAAGAAGCUGAAAUUCCUCAGCCUGUGGAGCCUGAGAUUGUGAUUCCUGAGGUAAUAAUGCAAUUGACUGACACUCCUCAGCCCAAACCAAAGGAUCCAUUCUGAAAGAAGCGGAAAUUCAAGGCUGAUGAUUUCUUCGGCGAGCACGUGUUCUUCACUGACUACAAUCCCUAUGAUUCUGCUCGUCUUAGAAGGAAGCGCUUCUAGACUGCCAGCCAGACCAACUUCUAUUCUUCACUGCUCUUCAACAAGGACAAAGUCUUCAACCACGAGCAUAUUCCUCAUGUGGACAUGGAAUCACUGCCAUGCUUCACACCUGUCCUCAGUGUGCUUCAUGACACAAGCCUCCUCAACUUUUGCACAGACAUAGUUGAUUGGAAUGAAGAGCUCAUUCUUCAAUUCUACGCAACACUUCACAUCACAGGAGAUGCUGACGAUCCGAACUCCUGGGUUUUGGACUGGAUGAUCGAAAACACUCACUACAAAGCACCGGCCUCUGAAUUACUUCACGCCCUGCCCAUCAGUCCUCCACCUGAAGGAGCUCGUUGCAUGUACCAAGAGCCUGAGCUUACAGAUCACUAUAUGCAAGUGCUGAUGAAGCCAUUGAAACCUGGUCAAGCCUCAAGGACAAAAUUCCUCAUGAAGGAAUUGCAGUAUGUACCAAGGACAGUCUAUCGCAUUCUGACAAAGACUAUGAGUCCAAUCAAAGGCCACGACUCAUCUCAUGAGGAAAUUGUUGGCAUCAUGAAGAAUCUGGUAUUCAACAUCAUUCAUGGCAUACCCGUCAACUAUCAUGAUUUCUUCAUGAGGACUCUGGAAAAUGUUGCACUUUCUCUGUUUGAGCUGAAGCCUUAUGCACCUUGGAUUAUGAGAUUCCUCAGGACAAGGUCUUCACUCAACUACAAGGCUGAUUUUCAGAAUCACCUCAGCUACUUGCCCCCGAUUGAAGUCCUCAAGCGGACCUAUUCCUCAGCUGAUGAAAAGGGCAAGGCAUCAGCUGUUAUUGAUGAAGGCAUUCGUCCAUUGGAUGGUCAGUUUCGCAAUGCUGCAUCUUAUUUCACCAAUGAUGACUCUGCCACUCAUGAUUCUGCUGCCCAUGCCUCCAAGCCAAAUCCUCAAGCCACUGCUCCUCGUGUGAUGACUGACCGUGAGCUUCUGCUAAGUCUUCACCAGAAGGUGGAUCGAAACCAUAAAUGGGUUAAGCGUCAGUUUGGUUCAAUUCUUCACAACAUGACUGCUACACAUAAUGCAGUGAAGAAAAAUCAUUACUACCUCCAUGAAGUCUUCAGUCGCACCUGGGCUAUUCUGUCACAUGUAUAUGGUGAAGAAGAUCUGAAGCAAAUGGGUCUCAAGGAGGACUUUGACUGGUCUGCACCUCCACCGAAGAAAUACAAGAAGGUCAAGGUUCCUUCCUUGGUGGCCAGCUCCUAUUCUUCAUCGCGCGACACCGAUGAGCAUGAAGACUUGGACGACACUGCGGCAGACCCUACAUCAACAAACGACCCCAACAACGCUGGCGCUCCUUCAUCAACUUGAUAUUCUUCAGGGGUGUUAGUCCUCAUUUUUUAUCCUUUUGGUCAUUCCAUGACAAAGGGGGAGAAAUUUGAGUUAGUCUUCAAGCGGGUCUAUCUUAUAUGGGCGUUUUUUCUUAAGUUACAACUCUUGUUCUUCUGAUGACUUUGCUGGAUCGAGUUGUAAACUUAAACUCUAUGGUGGCCUGAUACUUUUGCUGAGCUUUUCUGCAUGCUUAUUCCUCAUUAAUGUUUAUGCACGCAUGCUGAAUUACAUCAGUCACCAUAUUUCAUCAUGCAUUUCAAAUUCUUCAUAUUAUAUGUCAAAUGCGUGUAUGAAUUACAAGAUAUAGGGGGAUAUCUCCAUGAUUCAACUCUUGAAGUGUGCAUUGCUUCAAAAGCAAAUUCCUCACUAUGCACAUCUUCAGGGGGAGUUCUUCUAUAUCUUGCAAUCAAAUUUCUCAGUAUCAGUAUUUACACUUCAUGUGUUUAUCUCCAUUGAAAACUUAACCUAUAUUGUCAUCAAUCACCAAAAAGGGGGAGAAUGUAAGUGCAUCUAGUGCCCCUUAGUGAUUUUGGUGUAUUGAAGACUUAUAGGUUAAGGGACUAAUGUGUUUAUGAGUGUACACAGGUCUAUAAGUCUAUGAGAAGUUCGAUAUUUACAGAGAAAGUCGACCCCUAAAUAUGAAGUUCUUCGACUGAAGACUUUGGAUUUCUGAAGACUUUCUGAAGACUUUGAAAGUGAAGAAAUUGGCGUGACCUUGAAGACUUGGUAUUCAUUUGAGGAACAUGAAGCGUGAAGACUUUUGUUUUCGUAGUUUCAUUUUCUCUUUCUUGAGUCAUAGGAAACACCGUACUGUUAAAGGGGUCGAGGAAAUACUAAGGAAAAAUUUCCAAGUGAUGCUCAACUAAAAAUCCUACACCUACCAAUCCCUUCUAGUGAAGCCAUUGGAAAUCUCAUACAGUUCAGUCAAUUUCUUCAGUGACAGAGACGAAGUUCUUCUGGUCGUUGAGGAAUUUGUUCUGACUGAGGAGUUAGGAAUUCGCCAGUGUGGAUUGCCUACACAGUGAGGAACAUGAUAGCCCUGAGGUAUUUGAUACUCAAAAUUCCUACCGUUGCUAUGCUACGCGCCAGCUGUCCCAAAAUAUCUACCCACCUAACGGUCAUAUCAUUGAAGGGCAUUUAUGUCUUAUCAUGUCGGGCUCCCUAGGCUAUAAAUAGCCGCCCCCUACAACCACUAGUUGGUUGGCUGCUCCGAGAGAAACUGACACUUGUCAUUUGAGAGCAUCCCAUCCUCCGAGGACUUUGAGCAAAAAUCAUUGAGUGAGGAAAACCCAAACCCAAACACCUACAAAUCCAAAGUGAUUGAGCAUCAUUGAAGAGAUUGAUCCUGCGUGGAUCCGACGCUUGUUACCUUUGAAGACUGUGCUUCUUCCAGACGGUUAGGCGCCAUGGUCUAGAGCAUCCAAGAGGAAUUGUGGAUCGCCGAGUGAUCGAGUUUGUGAAGGUUCGGAAGUUACCUGAAGACUUACCACGAGUGAUUGGGCGAGGUUUGUGUGACCUUAGCUCAAGGAGAAUACGGUGAGGAUUGUGUGUCCUCAGGUUUAAAUACCUAGCCGCUCCAACCAGAUGUACAACUGAGACAGCAGUUGGAACUGGUCUACCAAAUCAUUGUCUUCACCAAGCUUACUGGUUCUAUUUCCUCAACUCUUUCACUUCCUCAUUACUGUGUUGUGCACUUGUUCAUAUAUGUGUUUGAAGACUUUGACUGAAGACUUUCUCAAUCUCCUCAGUUCAAUUUCUUCAUUUUGUUUGUCUUCAUCCUGUGUUAUCCUGUGUUUACGCUUUCUGUACUCUGUGUUUGUCUUCAUUUCAUCAUGAUGACCAUGCAUGCGUUCUGCUAUGUUUACUUUUGAGUACCUAUUCCGCUGCAAGUAGUUCUUCGCUAAGGAAUUUUCUCACCUGCAAAUUCCUCAGUGAAGAAUUCAUAAAAAUUGCCUAUUCACCCCCCCUCUAGUCGAUAUAACGCACUUUCACCUCUUGGUAGAUUCUGCCGGAGCUUUUGUUGAAUAAAACUCCCCAUAUUUCCCGUAAAAAAACUAAGAGAAAAAAGAUCGAUAAAAAACAUUCAAUAAUGCUACACAUACAAAGAGUUACACGCAAUUACAUGUUGGCUAGAAUUCUUUCUUUCUAACUAACCUCUCCCCCGUAAACCUAUGUAUGUGUACCACUGCAAAAAAAACUAUGUAUAUGUAGCACAAGAAUAUUAGACGAACGGUUCAACUGUGCCGUAACUCAGCUUAACACACGGUUCGUAGUUCAAUUCACCUUGUUACCAUUUCCAUGAGAGGUAAAUACACCACAAGUCAUAGAACUUGCACGCGACGGUCAGUUUGGUGCACAAACUUGUAAAAUAUGUGUUUUCGGUCAUCUAACUUGUCCUUCCGUUUAUAUACGGUGCUUUCUACCGUAUUCGGCCAUAUCAUGUGCACACAUGGGAGGGGCCCACUGUCAGUGGUGGGUAAUCCGCGUGCACUGUUUUUCUUCUUCAGAAAGCACCAUUGCAUUUUAUUUAUUUACACAAAAAAUCCUCAAAUAAAAUAAAAUAUACUCGACCGGCAGCGGGAUUCGAACACAAGACCUGCCACAUUUUACCUCCCCUAAAUAGCCACUUGACAUCCUUACCAUUGACGUUUAUAAGCGACAAUUAGUUUUAUAUAAGACGCAGGCCGUAUGAUUUAAAAUUGAAACCAAACGAGAAACAGGGAAAUCACCGGUUCGAACCUAUGACCACAUAAGCUCGCCGCGUGUGCGAGCACCAACCAUCUGGCCACAAUGAGUUUCAAAAAAAAUCAUCCACAAUGACAUUUAAAUAGAUUUUUUUUAAUCAAAUGCAACUGAUUGCAUUACUCUGUGGAUGAAGAUGACUCGCUCGCCACUAAAUCUUGUACAUCUGGGGGUACAUUGUCUGUGUUUAACACUUCAUACAGAUUCAUGGUACAUCCCAUACUUGCUAGUACAUGAGCUACUCUAUUACAGUUCCUGCUAGCAAAACUGAAACUAAACUGAUCAAAAUUUUGCUUCAGGAACACUUUCAGCUCUGCUACCCUAUAUAUCACUGAUCGGUCUCGCUCAUUUUGCUCUACACCUUGUUUUAGUGACAUGGAGUCAGUUUCGAAGCAAAUAAAAGUGAUUCCUUUAGACGCAGCUAGCUGGGCACCAUUAGUAGCGGCCAAUAUUUCAGCAUGUAGAAGAUUAAUUAAAUUCUCAAGCCUUCUUGCUCCACACGCCUGAACAACUCCCUUAUGAUCCCGGAUAACAGCACCCCAUCCACCACUAUUUGUUUGAGGAUGAAAGCCGCCAUCAAUGUUCGUCUUCAUCGCUCCAUGCUGAGGCGGUUUCCACCGAUCUUGACAUGUUUUCUUGAGCUCCUUUUCCUUCAUAAAAGCUUGGCAAUAUUCAUUAGUCUGCAUAAUUAACAGUGUAAUAUAUCAUCAUUACUUCGUACUUUACCUUCUUCUCUAAUAUUAUUCCUUUCAUUCCACCAGUGCCACGGAAGUACUAUCACCUUGAUUUUUUCUUCUUCUUCUAGCUUGAGGACUUCAUUUAGAUAAAUCCAAUUUAUCUUAUGUAUUCUUCUUUCUUUUUCUAUUUAAGAAAAUUACUUAUAUUCUAGAUAAACAUUUUGGACAAACCAACUAGAUUUUUUUGUUAAUGUAAUUUUAAAUUUAAAAAUAUAGACAAAACCAAAUAUAGUGCAGAGUGAGUUUACGUUUUUUUUUUUGGACAAAUCAACUAAAUUUUUGUUUGUAUUCAAAUAAUUAAAAAAUAAAAAUAUGGAUAAAAGUUAAUAUGCACAAUGAAUAUACACAUUUUUUGGGGACAAAUAAAAAAAUGUUUGAAUUCGAAUAAUUUGAAAUUUGAAAAUCUAGAGAAAAGGAAAUAUGGCCCAGAAUGAAUGUAAGUAUUUUUUCGGAAAAAACAACUAAUUUUUGUUUGAAUUUGAAUAAAAAAUCAGUGGACAUUUUGUUUGAAUUCGAAUAAUUAAAAAAUGGAAAUCUAUAUAAGAAAAUAUAGGUCCGAAUGAAUUUAUGUAACUUUCCAGAAAAAUUUAAUAUUUUUUUAUUUGAAUUCGAAUAAUUUUAAAUUAAAAAUCUAUAUAAAAGAAAAUUUGUGCAGAAUGAGUGUACGUAAUUUUCUUUCGAACAAAUCGGGGGAAAUUUUGUUUGAAUCUGAAUAAUUUUAAAUUCCAAAAUCUAGAGAAAAGAAUAUAUAUUCAGAAUGCGUACUUUUAUCCAAGAGGUGAUACACCUUAAUAGUCCAAAAGCAAGCACGAUCAGUUGCGGUAGUUAGGUUGCUAGCGCCAUUACAACUGGUCACUUGUUCAAACUCGCUCCGUCCCAUUUUUUCCAGCCCAAUAUUUACAACGUACACUGAUGGGUGGGACCCAGUGAGCAACUAUUGUUGGAGUGCUUUUGUACAAAGUAAAAAAAUAAGGGUGUUUCUGCAGAAAAAACAUCAUGUGCACUAGCCAAUGACAAGGGGCCCUGGCGCCACUGGCAUGCCACAUAGGCGGCGAAUACACACAUCGUACAGGAAAUGUGACCGCAUUUGCACGCCCGUGUAAAUUUGAUGACCAAAAAUAUGUAUUUUAUAAAUUUAUGCAUCAAACUGAUCGUCACGUGCAAGUUAUGAGACUUGCGGUGUAUUUACCUCUUUCUAUGAUACCGUUGGUGCUUCGUCGCAGAAAAUGAUACGGUUGGUACGGUUGCCCUACCUCGACAACUCACCUGUGGACCGAUGCUGAGCAGCUGCACAUGGCGGCCACAUGGUCCAAUCAUUCCACCCUUUGGAUCGCUCACCCAAUUAACAACCUGGUGUCUCCAAAUAAACCAUGCAAGUACAUGUACUACCACACAAAAAAUGAGAAAAAUCCUCAAGACUGUUCUUCAGAAAACAGAAGGCCUAUUUGGUUUCCAAAUUGCAUUGCUCGAAGAUCUUGAUACAUUUUUCACCUCUUACAAAACAAAAACCACCAGCUCGGAGCUUGGAUAGUUGGAAGUUUUGCCGGUAACAGAUGCGGAGCGUGCAUCAAAUCGAUCUUCGUAUGGCAAAUUGGACGUUGAACAGAGUUAAUUUGUUAUCGUUUCUUUUGUAUACGGUGGUUUUAUUAGCACGAAUUUUUCGGACGAAAGACCUGGUGACGGGAAAUGCAAAGAUUCAUCAUCUCAAUGGCAUGCAUCAGAACAGUCAAGACUUGACGUUUAAGCUGGGAAGAAAGAAUCAAAUAAAUGGUCUCAUUCAUAGCAAGAACAAGAGAGUAAGUACAUGAUCACCAACACAAAGAAUGGCACGCCGGCGCACGUACUGGACACCUCCCACACCACCGCGACCCAUACAUACACACACGCACGCGCCCAGACCUCACACCCCAACAAGAACACACGCACACACACCAAGACGACGAGCAAACCAAGCCGGACAGACGGAGAAGGGUCAUCUCAUCUCAUCACACGCCACCGGGACGGAUCUAGCAGAAGAGGUAGCCGAAGGCGGCGGCGGCGAAGGAGGCCGCGGCGAGGGGCACGGCGGCCGCGGCGUCGGAGGCGGGCGCCGGGGCCGGGGCCUCGGCGGCGGCCGCGGAGGCGACGAGCGCGGCGGCCAUGGCGGCGACGGCGACGAACUUCAUCCUGAGACCGGCCAUUGGCGACUUGACUUGGUUCCUGGUGCUGGGAGAGGAGGCCGGAGGGGGUCUCGCUGCUGCUUAUUCGGCUGUGAGAUCUCUCUAGGGGGGAGCUAGAGAGAUGCUGCACGCGGAUGAGCGAGAGGCUUGAGAGUGGCGGCUUGGGAG